This 499-nucleotide ribosomal RNA is filed under the name uncultured bacterium. RNAcentral's name for it is "bacterial SSU rRNA". It matches the Rfam family "Bacterial small subunit ribosomal RNA", at positions 903 to 1397 of the family's 1533-position model. The record is from RNAcentral.
AAAUGAAUUGACGGGGGCCCGCACAAGCGGUGGAGUAUGUGGUUUAAUUCGAUGAUACGCGAUAAACCUUACCUGGUCUUGACAUGUAGAGAACCCUUAAGAGAUUAGGGGGUGCCUGCUUGCAGGAGCUCUAACACAGGUGGUGCAUGGUUGUCGUCAGCUCGUGUCGUGAGAUGUUUGGUUAAGUCCAGCAACGAGCGCAACCCUUGUUACUAGUUGCCAGCACGUAAUGGUGGGGACUCUAGUGAGACUGCCGGUGACAAACCGGAGGAAGGUGGGGACGACGUCAAAUCAUCACGCCCCUUACGACCAGGGCUACACACGUACUACAAUGCCCGGUACAGCGAGUUGCUAAGCUGCGAAGCCAAGCUAAUCUCUUAAAACCGGGCCAAGUUCGGAUCGGAGGCUGCAAUUCGCCUCCGUGAAGUCGGAAUCGCUAGUAAACGCAGAUCAUCAUGCUGCGUUGAAUACGUUCCCGGGCCUUGUACACACCGCCCGU